Molecule: long non-coding RNA, 525 nt
Organism: Coregonus clupeaformis (lake whitefish)
Lineage: Eukaryota; Metazoa; Chordata; Actinopteri; Salmoniformes; Salmonidae
Exons: 3
Source: RefSeq, a predicted model, not a curated record
CAGAAGGAACCUUCGUCCAAUGACUCUUGUGUGUAAUGUAAUGGAACUAAGAGUCAUGAUCAAAGGCUAGCUUAGGCUCUAGAAGGAAGUAUACCAAUCUAAUUGUCUUUGACAUUCAUCUCAUGUCACCGCUCUCCCUUUCAGUUGCAAAGUGCAGUAACACCAUAAGCCUGUUUGUUUACAUCUCUCAGAAGGCAGUCUACCGCAACCGCUGCAGCCUUCACUCAGCCAACCUCUACUGCAACCACAGAAGCCGUGGAUAACAGACACGACCACAGGGCUGAGCCCGUUGACAGAUACGACCACAGGGCUGAGCCCGUUGACAGAUACGACCACAGGGCUGACUGAGAAGACAGCAUCUGAUGUGAGAGAUGUAGACUAACAGUGCCAUCUUGUGGUGAUCAUCAGGUGGGUCCAAUUCUAUGGCUGGGCCCUCAAGACAGAUGACGUCAUCAAGGGUCUGUGUGAACAGGGGAAGAAGAACCUUCUGCUGGUCCCCAUCGCCUUCACCAGCGACCACAUGGA